Oryza brachyantha (malo sina) is the source of this 954-nucleotide long non-coding RNA. RefSeq lists it as uncharacterized. Lineage: Eukaryota; Viridiplantae; Streptophyta; Magnoliopsida; Poales; Poaceae. The transcript has 4 exons. The record is from RefSeq and is a predicted model, not a curated record.
UGUAGAAGGAGGUCACAGUUGCACAUUUCACUUGGCAACAGAAGAAGCAGCAGCAAUAUGGCUUCUUCUUCUUCUUCCCCAAUCUCGACACAGGAAGCAGCUCAUCUUUGCUCUUCAUCUCCUCCUCCUCCCCUUCUUCACCUCCCUGUAGAGCUUGGACUGCUACCCUGCUGCUGGUGGUGGUUACAGUGAGCAGGAAGCUGAUAGGGUCGCCUUCCUCCCUGGGCAGCCAACGAGCCCACAGGUCUCUCAGUUCUCAGGGUACAUCACUGUGAACAGCCAGAAUGGCAGGCCACUCUUCUACUGGUUCUUUGAGGCCCAGGCACUGCCAUCUCAGAAGCCUCUCCUGCUCUGGCUCAAUGGAGGGCCAGUUUGCUCAUCAAUUGGAUAUGGAGCUGCAUCUGAACUAGGAGCACUCAGAGUUAGCAGGAAUGGACCUGGGCUUGAGUUCAACAAAUUUGCUUGGAACAAAGAAUUUGCUGUUCCUGGAAUCUCCUGUUGGGGUUGGCUUCUCCUACGCCAACACAUCCUCUGACCUCACCAAACUGAAUGAUGGUUUUGUAGGAUUAUACAGGUUACAAGGAGAAAAAGGAAGAAGAAGAAAACUGUACAGAGAGAGGAGCUUGAAGCUUCUCAGGCUAACCACAGCCAAAUGAAGGAAAGUAAAACAGGAGAUGAGCCUAGCUUAUAGGUGUUGAUUGGACCAUUGAUUCAUUUUUCUUCUGGUUGUAAGUUGAUGAGCUCUUUUGCUUGAGUCAGUAUUUCUGGCAAUAGCUGUAUGUGUUGGUCAAAAAUCCUGUUGUUCCUUGCUUUCCAGAGUGUGUAUGCACACGCCGCAAACCAGAUUGGCUCUAUGCCCUUGAACCUGCUGUUUUGUUCAAUUAUUGCUUCCAAAAAAUGGUGUAUUGACUUGGAUAUGUUGGCCUGUCUUGACAGAUUAAGUCUUGCCCAUAA